GCGCUCAUUUUGGCAGCACGUGUACUAAAGCUGAAACGAUUCGGAGAAGAAAAGCAUGGCUUCUGCGCAAGGGUGACACAAAAAAUCUGUAAGAAUUAUGGGCGUGUU
Molecule: small nuclear RNA, 108 nt
Organism: Hypanus sabinus (Atlantic stingray)
Lineage: Eukaryota; Metazoa; Chordata; Chondrichthyes; Myliobatiformes; Dasyatidae
Source: RefSeq, a predicted model, not a curated record